GCCAAAGAAGAUCAUCACAUAUAAUGACAGUCUAUAGAGAUAAAUGUCACAAAUAACAUAAAUGUCAUUAUUACAUAGCGGAAGUCUUACAAAAAUAAAUGAUAAUAAUAAGCGAACUAAGUAUUAUUCCUUGGCGUCACAAAGCUGGCUGGGAGACGCCACCUAGAGCAACUCAUACUCCUCAUUGUACAGCUCCUCCUAGACCACAUGUUCUUCUCCUGUGGGGGGUUAUAUAUAUCGCAAGGGUAAGCUCACAGAAGAUCAUAGCUCAACAAGUUGUGGGGAAUAAUGUGCAUGAACUCACCAAAGGUGGGAGUUCAUGUGAAGUGUAAGGCUGAUCAACAAUAGGGGUUAAAGCUGAGCAUUGCUUUUAAUAAGUUGGUCAAAUUUUAUUAGCAGUUACUAAAUAUAAGUAAAUACCAAACCAAAGUAAUAGUAGAUCAAAAUUAAUAAUAAAUCCCAAUGUGAUGCAAAUGACAAAUUGAAUUUAGUUUCAUAAUUUAAUCAUGCAAGAGCCUUUAGCUGCUCAUAACCGCGAGCACGACUAGUAUACCAAUUUUACCCUCUGCAGAGGUUGUGCCCUGUACCCACAAGUCGUGUAUCCCAUCUCGCCAGGGUUAGCUAGACCCUUAGACACUACCAAGGUGAAUGGCUAUGGAUCCAUUAUGAGGCCUUUACAAAGUUCCACUAGCUUCUGAAAACCCGCUACAGUUUCUUGGAAGAGCAAUGCAGGAAUCCCCCGUCUGACCGCCAUCGCAGCAAAAACAACCCAAGAACCUCCCUACACGCCUACUCCCCUACUGCCCUUGCCCCUUUUGGGUAAGGUAGUCCUCCACUAGCUUUCCUAGUUAGUCAGCCAAGGGCGUCCCAUUCCACCCUUGUGGUGGCACGUGUUUCUCAAGUUAAGCUCGAUGUUCCAAUUAACAUAGUUGUCUUAUCAUGAACCGAAAUAGAACAGUAAUAAAGAAUGAUCAACUAUAAUAGUUAUCUCAACACCCAAAACCAUGUAUAGCAAUAGCAAAGACUACCCAAAAAUUCAAGGGUAAACAAGGUAAAAAGAUAACCAGACUAGAGUGACCUAUUGGGUCCCAUCAAAAUUAAGUCUAUGCAUGAUAAAAUGAUUAUAAAGAACAUUAUUGGAUAAAUAAAAGUGGUCAAGGACCUCCAAUGAGCUCCUGCUCAGCAACUUCUACCUGCUAAACACCUAGAUCCUUAGUAGCUUCCUCGUCUACUCGCAACAGUACAAACAAACAUGGUAUAGCAGAAAUUAACAUCACACCAAACACAAAUACAUAAUACAUAAUAAUAAUCUACGCAUCGAAACGAGAACUAGGAAUAAGAUUCACUAAAUUUGGAGUUACGGAUUUUAAGUUAUGAUUUUUCGAAGUAUUUAUGUGUUUGGUACAAAAUUAAUUGAGUGAUCAAUUCUAAUGUGUCUUUCAUGUUAAAACAGUGGCACUAAGUGAUAAACAAUAUUAUUACAAAAUUAUAGGAACAGGAAUAGACUAAAAAGGAGUUAAAAUGUAUUUUCUAUGAAUUAAAGUUUCUGGAACAAAUUUUGCACUAAAAUUCAUUUUCUAUAUAAUUUUCUCCGAUUUUCCAAUUCCUUGGACAGCACGCAUAAUAAACGGAAAGCCCAUGGUCAGUCUGCAAAAUUCCCCAAGACUCAGAUUAUAGUCACACUGGAUGGCAGCUUUAUUUUUAAAUAGUCUAAGGACUCAUAUGAAAAAGUGCGUUCGCGAAGGGGUAUCGCUAGGUCCCGACAUACCGACUUCAUUUGACCGCUAGGAUUAGACCUACCCUCGGCUGAAUCGGUACGCGCCCUUGACCCUCCGAUCUACAACCCACGGCUCGGAUUUAAAUCAAUCAGAUUCAUUUCCAGUCAUCGGAUCCCAGAUCCACGGGCACGAUUUAAUUGGACGAAAGGUUAUCCAGUGAUCUAAUCUACGCCGUUCAAUCAAGAUCAGACGGCACGGACAACGUCUUCUCCAACAACUCACUUUUCCCCAGACGACGCCCACACCUCCGUCGAACCCGCCGCCGGCGACGGGCAAAUGGACCCGCUACUGCACUAAACAUCCAAUUAAAAGGUCCAACACGAUCGCAAGGAGAAAGCGAAACGAUUGGAAGCUAACUCACUGGAGAUUAGGCGUUGGUUGAGGUUGUUCACGCACUACGCGGAUUUGCGGCCACGAAUGAGCAACGACAAGGAAUUGCUGCUGUUCUGGUGAACCCCGAUCUCCCUGGUUGACACAACUGCGAGCGCACCCCCGCGGCGAAUCUCCUGCGCCCAACACCAGCAUCGAGUCACUGCCAAGGACGAGGAUGGUGGAGCGGCACUCUCCCACGACGCAAGAUUGAAUGGUGUCGAGUCGGUUAGCGGCUAGGGGAUUGUUGUCGCGAGGCGUUUCGGCCGGGGCGGACUCCUUAUACGCGUGGAAGUGGCUAGCGCACGCCGCCAACCACCCAAAACGCCCGGCGAGAUCG
RNAcentral lists this long non-coding RNA (2487 nucleotides) under Zea mays. RNAcentral's name for it is "long non-coding RNA (ZMAY_LNC005426)". The record is from RNAcentral. Lineage: Eukaryota; Viridiplantae; Streptophyta; Magnoliopsida; Poales; Poaceae.